RNAcentral lists this long non-coding RNA (3874 nucleotides) under Sus scrofa (pig). RNAcentral describes it as "lncRNA (ENSSSCG00000051289.2)". Lineage: Eukaryota; Metazoa; Chordata; Mammalia; Artiodactyla; Suidae. The record is from RNAcentral.
GAAUUUUUUCGUAUAAAAAGUCCAACAAGACGUUAGCUUCCAACUGCGGUCCUUAAGGAGACCCUUCCCCAGCAGGUGCAGCCUGGUCCAGAGUCGUUUUCACUUUCGUCCUCUUAAAAGUGUUUAAUCUUGGAAAGUCAGGUUUGCUUACAAGUUCGUUAUUCUUCAUAAAGUGUGUCUAGUAAAAUGCUAAUGUAUCAUCUUAGUAAAAUAUUUGGCUUGUCCUUGGCUGAAGAAGAACUUGAAAUGAGAAAACCUGUCAUGCCCCUCUCCUCCCUCCUGUAGCCCUGCCUGAACCAAAUCCAGCAGCUUGGAGGGCAAAUUCCGAGGAGGCCCUGUCACGCACGGAAGUUCCCACUCCUGUCCUGGGGCUGCAUGGGCUGCGCCGGUUGAUUUAUUGAAAGGAUUGUAGUUUGAACAAGGUUCUUCAGAAACCCAGCGAUGGAGGCCUUUGGGGCCUUGCUUUGUUAAGAAUGUCUUUUUAUUCACGUUGAGCUGUAUGAAGAACUGAAUUAUCUCAUUUUUAGUUUUUAUUGUAUUUAUUUAUUUUUCAUUUUUUGAAGGCCACACCCACAGCAUAUGGAAGUUCCCCAGCUAGAAGUCAAACCAGAGCUAUAGCUGCCAGUCUACACCACAGCCACAGCAAUGCGGAUCUGAGCCAUGUCUGCAACCUGCACCAUAGCUCACGGCAACGCCGGAUCCUUAACCCACUGAGGGAGGCCAGGGAUCAAACCCACAUCCUCAUGGUUCCUGGUCGGAUUCGUUUCCACUGCCCCACGAUGGGAACUCCCUAUACUCUCUUGUUUUAAAUCUGCCUUAGGGUUCAUUCAUUUUCAUGGCCAGAUUCACCAGGCCAUCCUCCCGCUGAAUUCACUGGAAUUUUUUUCUUUCUAAAUGUACGGCCCGUUGAAGGAAACAAUCCAUGUGCCAGGAGUUCCAGGGCUGGAGGAGAGACCCUGCACGGACAGCCCUGGGCCCGGCGGACAGGGCCCAAUGCCUGUGGGGACAGGGGACGGCUGCUCGGCCGGUGGUCCCAACCCGGCCGCUCCCCGGGCUCUGAUGCCGCGUGAGGACGGCCUGGUGGGACCCACUUGUCUGUCUUGUAUCUGGGGUGGUGGGUUUUCCUCGCCUUCUCACAGCUCAUCGUUCCAGGGAGUGUGUGGUGCUUGACAGGGAAAGAUUAUUCUGUCGUUUAAACCACUUUUUGUCAAGUAGCUCUUUUACAGAACAUGUCCCAAGCCCCUUAGCCCUGGUCUCCGCGCCCCUUGUCUCGCCAGGAUGGGCGGGGAGCCCCAUGGAGGGAGGGCCUUGCUUGCUGUUCUGGAGAGGUUUUAGCCUCCAGUGAGUCUCAAAAGGCAGGCCCUGCAUCACUGGGGGGACCACAGCUCUCAGUGGAGCCUGCAGCGUGGUGGGGUCCAGUGCGGUUGCUGUGAGCCUUGCCAGACCGGUGGCCAUCACGGGCCCUGCAGGAGGGCCACACACCCGCUGAGACCAGAGCAAACGGGCAGCCUCCUCCCGCCGAGCUGCCACCAUGCUGGCCACUACCCCCAGGACCCUACCCUGCGGUGAGGUCCGCUCUCAGACCCUCAGCUUUCCUCUGGGGCUCCUUUCGGGAUUCAGUUCAGGUGGGGCCUGCCGUGAAGCCUGUUUUACAGGCAGGUGGAUGGUCCCUGGGGCGCCCCCAUCUCUCCCAGGCUUCCAGAAGCACUGGGUGCCAUCUGCAUCUGCAUGAGCUUUUCUGCCUAUGCCUGGCGUCAGUCAGCACCUGGAGAAGCGUCAGGACCUUAGCAUAGCUGCCUGGCCCCAGUAACUGAAUAGGUUCUUAGGAUGUGAUGAGAAUUAGUGCUGAGUGAGUGUAGCACGAGCUUAGGAACAGCCGAACACCUGAGGAGCUCCAGCCACGCUGAGGAGGGGCUCUGGUGCCACACGGGUGAGCAGACACCACGUCCAAUGGUUUGCUGGUGAAAAAGAAAAUGUAAAAAAGUGCAGAAAAAGUAAGAGUCAUAUCCAGCAGAAUCUGGCACAACAGGCGGGCCUGGAAGCCCAAAGCCUCUGUCUCCGAGGUCUGGAGAUGACUGUCCCCUGACCAGAGGCUCUGGGACAGCCAGAGAGCACCUGCGAAAGGAGCUCUGCCCCCACCACCAGGCACCCAGCUCCCAGAGGCCCUGGCCACCACAGGCUGAAGCUCUCCGCCGUCUGGAGACUGGGGCAGCCAGGUAGCACUGACGGGGAGGCCCCCACACGCCUCUUCCCUCCUGCACACCUGACCCGCCCCUUCCCCAGUGAGAGACAAGGAUCAGCGCCACGGCACCAGCUGAGCAAGCCGCCCAGUAGCACUGCAAAGGCUCUCUUGCACCCACGUGGCCUUUUACCUGUUAAAAGCUUUAAAUGAAACUCAGUGUCCUGACAUAAUGGACAAAAUGUCAGGGCACAAAUGAAACCACUGACAGUACCAAGAGCCAGGAAGACUGCAACUUCAGUGAGGAAAAACAACGGACAUCAAUCAUGAGACGAAUUAGAUGUUGGAAUUAAAGCAUCCGUGCUAAAAAGGCUUAAAAACCUGAUUAUAAGUUGUCUUGACACAAAUGAAAUAAAAAUUGCAGCAAAGAUGAGGGGAUUACAGAACUAAAAAAUUCAGCAGUGGAAGAUGCUAAAACCUUGUGGAUGCCGUCAAUAGUAGACUGGAAAUGCCAAAGGAGAGAGUCGGGAAACCUGGAAAGAUGCAUCGAAUUUACUCAACCUGAACAGCAGAGAAGAAAAUGUAAAAGCCUGGGUUAGACAAAGUCUCGGGCGCUUACGGGGCAAUAACAACACCCAGCAUCCCUGUCAUCUCGCUCCCAAAAGGAGGAGAAAGAGAGUGGGGCUGAAAGAGUUUUUGGAGAAUAAGAUGGAAAGCUAUCUGGAUUUGGUGCAAGACAAAACCUUGAAAGAUUCCCAAGAAGGAGAAUGAAUUCCAAAUAGGACACAUACAAAGAAAUCCAUGCCAAGACACAUCAUAAAUCAAACUUUUGAGAAAAAAAAAAAUUGAAGGCCGUGAGAAACAGUGCAUCCAUCACCUAUGGGGACCCCAGUUUAAAUGACCAAGAGUUUCUCCUCAAAGCCACAGAGGCCGAAGGGAAGUGAUGUGGUUCUCCUCCAACACCGGGGAAAAUUGUCCGCCACAUAUUCUAUAUCCAGCCAAACUGUCCUUCAGGAUUAAAAGUGAAAUCAGCAUCUCAGAGGAAGUAAAACUAAAGGAAUUUCUUACGAGCAGACCUUGUAAAGACUAAGUUUUUCAAACAGAAAGGAAAUGAUAAAAAGGAAUUUUCUUAAAUCAUACAUGAUGAUAAAGUAAUAAGUUGUACCAUCUGAUACUCAAGACAAUGAUAUGGAAAGUAGAGGAGGUAAAGGGAACUCAAUGCAGAUAAGGCUUCCUAACUUCAUUUGAAGUGGCAAAAUAUUGACGUCAGUGACUUAAUGCUUCACAUGUCUACGGCAAUACUUGCAGCAUCGGCUAAGGAGAGAAACACGCUAAGAAAGGAAGAAAGAAAACAGUACGAAUAGGAGUGCUCUCUGCCCGGAUGGCAGAGACUUCUGAAAACUUUAGCCCCCGUAAAUGCACCCAGGUAACUGUCAAAGGGAGUUCCCUUGUGCUGCAGUGGGUUAAGGACCAGCGUUGUCACUGCAGCAGCUUGAGUCACUGCUAUGUUACGGGUUUGGGAACUUCCGCAUGCCUCAGACAUGGCCAAAAAAGGUCUCCCCCCACAUCCCCUGUAAAAAGGAAACCGGCAAAGGAUUUCUCUGGUAGCCAAGUGUUAGGAUUCAGCAUUUUCACCACUGUGGCCUGUGUUCAAUCCCUGGUCUGAGAACUGAGAUCCCACAUCAAACCAUGGCA